UGUAACACUGUGCAGGAGAGGUUAGAAGCCAAAAAUGAUUCAUGAAGAUACACAAAGACUGCAUAAUUCAUCAAACUUUCUUUUUUGUUUUCAUGCUUUGAUCAAGGUUUGUGUCAGCAGUAUGUUGGUCUACAGGUCGCUGAGGAAGUCGUCUCCAAAGGUAAUCAUCUGUCUCAGUGCGUUCAUUAUCAGUGCAUUCAUGUCAUCACUGAUGUUGGGAUCUGGAUCAUAGUUCUUCACAAGAAAGAUGCUGUUUAGUGGAAUGCCCAGCAACGUGUUUACUUUGUC
This is a long non-coding RNA of Epinephelus fuscoguttatus (brown-marbled grouper), 288 nucleotides long. RefSeq lists it as uncharacterized. The transcript has 3 exons. The record is from RefSeq and is a predicted model, not a curated record. Lineage: Eukaryota; Metazoa; Chordata; Actinopteri; Perciformes; Serranidae.